AUGUGUGGCCUCGACAAUGACCGCCGAGGGCUGGAGCGCCAGCUGCUAGCCGUCGAGUACAAGCUGGCAAGGGCCGAGGAGAGGAGCAAGACAAACACCUAUAUCAAGAGCUGGAGGAAGGAGCUCAAGUCCGUCGCAUAUGAGGCCGGCGACGUGCUGGACGACUUCCAGUACGAGGCGCUGCGCCGGGUACUCAGCUACAUCACGCACCACAACCCACUGCUCUUCCAUUUUGAAAUGAGCAAGAAACUAAAGACUGUCCUCAAGAAGAUCAAUAAGUUGGUCGAGGAGAUGAAAAAGUUUGGUCUGGAGGAUCCUAUCCACAGGGAGGAGCGGCAACAUCUAUGGCGGCAAACGCACUCAAAAUUAGAUGAGUCUACCGAAAUCUCUGGAAGAGAGAAUGAUAAGAAGAUGGUGGUGAAGUUGCUACUGGACCAGCAAGAUCAACAGAAGGUGCACGUGCUGCCCAUCUUUGGAAUGAGAGGUCUUGGCAAGACGACUCUUGCUAAGAUGGUGUAUAAUGACCAACGGCUCCAGCAACAUUUCCAGUUGAAGAUGUGGCACUGUGUGUCUGAGAACUUUGAUGCCAUUGCUAUUUUGAAAUCCAUCAUUGAGUUGGCUGUAAAUAAAAGAUGUGAUAUGCCUGACACAAUCAAGCUGUUGCGAAAGCAACUUGAGGAAGUCAUUGGCCGGAAGAGGGAAGAUGAUAAGGAGGUGGUAGUGAAGCUGCUGCUGGACCAGCAUGAUCAACGGAAGGUGCAAGUUCUUCCCAUCUUUGGGAUGGGAGGUCUUGGCAAGACAACAAUUGCUAAGGUGGUGUACAAUGACCAAGAGGUCCAGCAGCAUUUCCAGUUGAAGAUGUGGCACUACGUUGAGUUGGCUGUAAAUAAAAGAUGUGGCAUGCCUGAUACCGUCGAGCUAUUACAAAAGCAACUUGAGGAAGUCAUUGGCCAAAAAAGGUUUAUGCUCGUGCUUGAUGAUGUGUGGAAUGAAAACAAGAGGAUGUGGGACGAUGUCCUAAAGCCACUAUUAUGUUCUAUUGGUGGACCAGGAAGUGUUAUAGUGGUCACAUGUCGAAGCAAGCAAGUGGCCUCUGUAAUGUGCACCAUCGAGCCCCAUGAGCUCGUAUUCCUGAGUGGAGAAGAUUCUUGGGAUUUUUUUUCGAAUAGAGCAUUUAGCAAUGGUACAGACAAGCAAGCAGAGUUAGUCACCAUCGGAAGGCGUAUAGUCAAUAAAUGUGGGGGGUUGCCUCUUGCUCUCAAGACAAUGGGCGGAUUGCUAAGUUCGAAGCAAAAGGUACAAGAAUGGAAGGCCAUCGAAGAGAUUUCCCUCAAGGAUUAUGAGAUGGAAAAGGAUAGGUUGAUCCAACUAUGGAUGGCAAAUGGCUUUAUCCAGGAAGAGGGAACAAUGGAUUUAACACAGAAAGGAGAAUUAAUUUUCGAUGAGCUAGUUUGGAGGUCCUUCCUCCAAGAUAAUAAAGUGGUAGUUAAAUCAGCUGAUAACACAAAAUAUGAGACAAUAGUAUGUAAAAUGCACGACUUAAUGCAUGAUCUAGCAAAAGAUGUCAGCGAUGAAUGUGCAAGUAUAGAAGAACUGACUCAUCAGAAAGCAUUGUUUAAAGGUGUUUGUCACAUGCAAAUGUCAAAGGCUGAAUUGGAACAAACCAGCCUAUUAUGCAAAGGCAGAACAUACCUCCGCACUAUGUUAGUUCCUUCAAAAUCAUGGAUGGAGCUGCUACAGGUAUCGACAUCGUUAAGAGCGUUGCAUUGCUCCUCUUCUCCAAUUGUCAUUUGCAUGGCCAUAAAUGCAAAACAUUUACGGUAUCUUGAUCUAUCUGGGUCAAACAUCGUUAGGUUGCCAAAUUCAGUAUGUAUGUUGUAUAACCUACAAACACUGAGGCUCAUAGAUUGCAAGGAGUUGCAGCAGUUACCAGAAGACAUGGCAAGAUUUAGAAAGCUCAUCCAUCUUUACCUUUCUGGUUGUGUACGUCUCGGAAGUAUGUCUCCAAACUUUGGUCUGAUGAACAACCUUCACAUAUUAACAACAUUUGUCGUGGAUACUGGAGAUAGCCUUGGAAUAGAGCAACUCAAGGACUUGCAACACCUUAGAAAUAGGUUGGAACUGUUAAAUUUGAGCAAAAUAAAGAGUGGGGAGGAUUCAAAAGAAGUGAAUCUCAGUCAGAAGCACAAUCUAAGUGAGUUUUUGUUUUCUUGGGACAAAGGAAUGCAUGAUGUGCCUACAGAUGUGGAAGAAGUGCUCCAAAGUUUAGAACCUCAUCGUAACAUCCAAAAGUUGGAGAUGUGUGGAUAUGGUGGCCUAGAAAUAUCACAAUGGAUGAGAAAGCCUCAAAUGUUUAACUGCUUGAGAGAACUCAAAAUUUCCGACUGCCCAAGAUGCAAGAGUAUACCUGUAGUAUGGCUCUCGGAAUCUCUAGAGAUUUUGUCCUUAACGAAUAUGGUUAACUUGACAACAUUAUGUAAGAAUCUUGAUGUGGAAGGUGGAGAACACAAUACCGCUCUGAAAAUUUUCCCUGGGUUGAAGAGGAUGGAAUUGAUUACCUUACCAAGCCUGGAGAUAUGGGCAGAAAAUAUUGUGGGGGAGUGUGGUGAUAGUUUGAGCGUUCCCAUGCUUGAAGAGCUAAAAAAUGAAAAUUGCCCCAAAUUCCAAAUAUUCCAGUGACCCCCAUUGUUAGAAAGUUGCAAAUAA
RNAcentral lists this ribosomal RNA (2706 nucleotides) under Triticum aestivum (bread wheat). Its description in RNAcentral is "partial small subunit ribosomal RNA". Lineage: Eukaryota; Viridiplantae; Streptophyta; Magnoliopsida; Poales; Poaceae. The record is from RNAcentral.